GACGAACGCUGGCGGCGUGCUUAACACAUGCAAGUCGAACGGAAAGGCGCUGAGCUUGUGGGGUGCUCGAGUGGCGAACGGGUGAGUAACACGUGAGUAACCUGCCCUUGUCUUUGUGAUAACUUCAGGAAACUGGGGAUCUAACCGGAGAGGAGCUCCUGAAGCGCGGGGGGGGUUGGAGAGUUUCGGCGGUGGGGGAUGGACUCGCAGGUUAUCAGCUUGUUGGGGUAGUAGUGGCGGACCAAGGCUUUGACGGGUAGGCGGCCUGAGAGGGUGACCGGGCACAAUGGGACUGAGGGAGGGCCCAGACUCCUACGGGAGGCAGCAGUGGGGAAUAUUGCACAAUGGGCGGAAGCCUGAUGCAGCAACGCCGCGUGCGGGAUGACGGCCUUCGGGUUGUAAACCGCUUUCGCCUGUGACGAAGCGUGAGUGACGGUAAUGGGUAAAGAAGCACCGGCUAACUACGUG
RNAcentral lists this ribosomal RNA (468 nucleotides) under uncultured bacterium. RNAcentral's name for it is "partial 16S ribosomal RNA". It matches the Rfam family "Bacterial small subunit ribosomal RNA", at positions 28 to 507 of the family's 1533-position model. The record is from RNAcentral.